RNAcentral lists this long non-coding RNA (602 nucleotides) under Gallus gallus (chicken). Lineage: Eukaryota; Metazoa; Chordata; Aves; Galliformes; Phasianidae. The record is from RNAcentral.
AUGUCCGAAGGGGUCAAGGUGGUUGUUGGUGAGCUUGAGCUUCUGGAAGGAAACCAACUGCCUCAUCCAGUGGGCUCCAGUAGCGGGGGAGUCGGGGUGCACGUAGAGGCGGCCGGGCAUGGCCGGUUCUGCCUUCCCGGUCACGGACCAUUUAUUAUCUGCAAAUUUGUAUCUGUGGUCAUCCGCUGGUACAAUAUCCAUCAACAGUAUGUACUUCGUUUUUGGAUUGAGUCCAGUGACCUUCACUUUGUAACUGGGAAACAUACGCCUUCCAGCCUUUGUUAUGAUCAUCUCCGUCCCCACCUCGUGAAAUUUCAGCCACAGCUCCCGCUCGUGCAAAAACACUUUGAUCCCCUCCAUGCCCUGCUGGGUGAAGGCCGCCUGUGGAGAGGUGGGGGCCUUGCUGGUGGUCCCCAGCUGGGGAUCCUGCUUGGCCUCAGCCUGCAGCUCCUUGGCCUCCGAGUCAACCGGCGUGCUCGGGAGCCCGAAGCCUUCCUCGGUGUCCGCCAUGUUACGAGCUUCCUUCGCCGAAUCCCCCACUUGCUUGUUGAAUUCCAUGCAAUCAAUGCAUCUCCAUAUAUAUAUGUAUGUGUAUAUUUUCC